Molecule: ribosomal RNA, 456 nt
Filed under: uncultured bacterium
Lineage: Bacteria
Description: bacterial SSU rRNA
Rfam family: Bacterial small subunit ribosomal RNA
Source: RNAcentral
UACGGGAGGCAGCAGGGGGAAUAUUGCACAAUGGGCGCAAGCCUGAUGCAGCCAUGCCGCGUGUAUGAAGAAGGCCUUCGGGUUGUAAAGUACUUUCAGUCGUGAGGAAGGUGUUAAGGUUAAUAACCUUAGCAAUUGACGUUAGCGACAGAAGAAGCACCGGCUAACUCCGUGCCAGCAGCCGCGGUAAUACGGAGGGUGCGAGCGUUAAUCGGAAUUACUGGGCGUAAAGGGCACGCAGGCGGUUAAUUAAGUUGGAUGUGAAAUCCCCGGGCUUAACCUGGGAAUGGCAUUCAAGACUGGUUAGCUAGAGUCUUGUAGAGGGGGUAGAAUUCCAUGUGUAGCGGUGAAAUGCGUAGAGAUGUGGAGGAAUACCGGUGGCGAAGGCGGCCCCUGGACAAAGACUGACGCUCAUGUGCGAAAGCGUGGGGAGCAAACGAGGGAUUAGAUACCCGU